GGGUAGAAUGCAUAAUUUAUGGACCGAAAAGUAACAAAUUUUUUUUUAGUAUGGGGUGAAAUCGUAAUUUUAAAAAAUUAAAGGAUCAAAUUGUAAAUUAGUUGACAUUUGGCAGCUCCUCCAUCACUCAUUUUGGCACAUGGGCUGGAUUUUUAUCGUCUCCGGUAGAGAUAAGAAUAGGAAAGAGAAGAGGGGAGGAAAAAAGAAGAAAACAGAGAAAAGGAGAUAAAAGAAAAGAAAAAGAGGAAAAGAAAGAGAGAGAGGAGAGUUUCAAACUUCAUUUGCUUUAGGGAUCAAUCAAAUUUUGGUAGAAAAUGAUGGUUUAUGAUGAGAUUUUGUAAGUUUUAGAGAGAGAAACAAAUAGUUUUGGUUAGAGAGAGAGUGGAUUUGAAGCAAAAAUUUUAUUUUCAACACUUUUCUUAGAUUAUGUAGAUAUUUAUGAUUAUCCUUAAUUCUUGGAUCAUUCUGAAGUAAGGGGAAGAAGUGGUUGCUUCUGUUCUUUUGUGUUCCUCGAUUUCGUAUUGAAUUUAUCUUUCCCCUAAUCCUCAAAAAGAAAAAGAGGAAGAUCUUUAGCUUCAUAAACUUGUCUGAUCCUUGAGGUUGUUGAAAAGGGUGGCACUUUGCAUCUUUGGGAGAUAAAUAAGAUCUCCUUCAUCAAUUUUCUAUCCUUAAACUCACUUCCUUUGCAAAGAGAUAUCCAUGGCGGCCGAGGUAGUAGCAGGAGCAUUUCUCUCCAGCAUGUUCCAGUUUUUGUUUGAGAGGAUGGAUUCUCCCGAGAUUGCUGCAUUUUUUAAGGGCCACAAACUCGACCUUUCACAAGUGAAGAAGUUGAAGGUUGCUAUGAUCACUGUUACUGGAUUGCUUGAUCACGCCGAGGAAAAGCAGAUUGUUGUGCCUGCUGUGAAGAAGUGGCUUGAUGAGCUCAAAGAUGCGGCCUAUGAGGCUGAUGACUUGUUGGAUGAGAUU
Molecule: unclassified non-coding RNA, 966 nt
Filed under: Hevea brasiliensis (rubber tree)
Lineage: Eukaryota; Viridiplantae; Streptophyta; Magnoliopsida; Malpighiales; Euphorbiaceae
Source: RNAcentral